AUGAUGCAACAUUAUGAAUCAAUAAAAUCCACCCUUUAUAGAAAAAACAUUUUGAAAAUUUAUGUUUGCAUGGGAAACCACAAACAUAGGCAAGAUCCAAUUCUUUUCAGAAAAGGUCACACCUUGUGGUCUUUUUGCGCCGAACACUUACUUCAUACUGACGUCAACAAAUCAACAUAUUCAAUGUUGCUUAUUCUCUUAAUAUCUUCUUCGAAUUGUUUGUUCCCAUUUUGUAUCAGUGAUGAAGGAUCAAUAUUAGUGUCACAUGCUACUAUGUAUAGUUGUAUACUAAUGAAGUGA
Molecule: ribosomal RNA, 300 nt
Filed under: Triticum aestivum (bread wheat)
Lineage: Eukaryota; Viridiplantae; Streptophyta; Magnoliopsida; Poales; Poaceae
Description: partial small subunit ribosomal RNA
Source: RNAcentral